Molecule: ribosomal RNA, 441 nt
Filed under: Sesamia cretica
Lineage: Eukaryota; Metazoa; Arthropoda; Insecta; Lepidoptera; Noctuidae
Description: partial 16S large subunit ribosomal RNA
Source: RNAcentral
GAUUUUAUAAUUAAAGGGCUGCAGUAUAUUGACUGUACAAAGGUAGCAUAAUCAUUAGUCAUUUAAUUGAUGACUUGUAUGAAGGAUUGGAUGAAAUAUAAACUGUCUCUUAAUUAUUAAAUAGAAUUUAAUUUUUUAAUUAAAAAGUUAAAAUAUAUUAAAAAGACGAGAAGACCCUAUAGAUUUUUAUAAAAAAUUUAGUUAAUAUUAUUUAUGAAAAAUUAAAAUUAAAAUUAAAUUUAUUUAUUGUAUUGGGGUGAUAGAAAAAUAUAAAAAACUUUUUAUAUAUUAAAACAUUUAUAAGUGGUUAAAUGAUCCAAUAUUAUUGAUUAUAAGAAAAAAUUACCUUAGGGAUAACAGCGUAAUUUUUUUUUUUAGUUCGUAUAAGAAAAAGAGUUUGCGACCUCGAUGUUGGAUUAAGAUAAAAUUUAAAUGCAGAAG